RNAcentral lists this ribosomal RNA (253 nucleotides) under uncultured bacterium. RNAcentral describes it as "partial 16S ribosomal RNA". It matches the Rfam family "Bacterial small subunit ribosomal RNA", at positions 524 to 776 of the family's 1533-position model. The record is from RNAcentral.
UACGAAGGGGGCUAGCGUUGUUCGGAUUUACUGGGCGUAAAGCGCACGUAGGCGGAUCGUUAAGUCGGGGGUGAAAUCCUGGAGCUCAACUCCAGAACUGCCUUCGAUACUGGCGAUCUAGAGUCCGGAAGAGGUGAGUGGAACUCCUAGUGUAGAGGUGGAAUUCGUAGAUAUUAGGAAGAACACCAGUGGCGAAGGCGGCUCACUGGUCCGGUACUGACGCUGAGGAGCGAAAGCGUGGGUAGCGAACAGG